CAGGAAACAAACGCACUAAAAAGAAGAAACAAAGAACUGGACUUCUUUUAGCUCAUUUUCUCACUGUGGAAAUAAAAACAUGAGAUUUAUUUUUCCUGCAUAAUCUCAGCGGCGUCAGUGGCAACUGACUGAUUUCUUUAAAAGACAACUUAACGUCAGGAAGGACAAAGCUCAUUAAUAUCUGGAGAACAUCUGUAGGUAAUUUCCACCUAAAGGCCUUCAAAACUGCAUUUCUGGGCGCCUAAAAACCGACUAACAUGGCUGUGCUGACUUCCCCCUGGGCUGAUCUGGCUCUGUUCCUGCAGGGGAGCAUCACGAUGUCAAACAGUGAUGCAGGCAGCUUUUUUCCAGUGUGGCUGUUUGGACUGAUGCUCUUCCUGUCUGUCUCUCUGCUGCUGCUAGCACUGAUCAUCCUCCUCAGUUGGAAACUCAGACAGGCUGACGCUGAUCUGUUGAAGCUAGCGCAGGACAGAAGCUCCAUCAGUGCCACCCACAGGCAUGUGCACAGAGGACACAGAAGAAAUGCUGGAUCUCAUUUCUGCACCUGACAGUCAUGAACGGACACAUUUUAACACAAAUGAAGGAACACACUCUGUAUAUGAUACUAUGUGCUCCCUCCUGAGGGGCCAUAUCAUGCUGGACAUUGAAGAGUGUAAGGAAAAUAAUGAGCUAACAACUCAUGAACACCAACGUCGUCUGCCUCACCCGACUGACAUGAAUUAAAAAGCAUAAUUUACACAUGGAUUUAACUUUUAUGUAUUAUGUCUAAUAAAUAUGCUGCACACAUUUUCAAUCACACUUCCAAGGAAAUGAAUGAGGAAAUGAAGCGAGUAUAACAAUCCUUUAUUUAAACAGUGUUACACAGGGGGGGAGGAGUGGCUGUGUGGGGGGAGAUACAAGACAUUUAAGCUGCUAGACAGAAAAAACCCUACUGGUGAUCACUGGUUAGCUAACAAAGAGCAAUGAGGCAGCUGGUAGGUUUUCCAAAAUGAGUUUCUUUAAGGUUUCCUUUGUUUGUGUGAGUUUUAUUUUAUUAAUAAAAUAUAAAAACUGUGCUGGUUUCCCGUUUCUCCAGAGUGUGAAACAAAGCCUGAGAUUUAAGUGUUCAGAGGAUCCUCCAAUUAUAACCUGCUAUGACACCAUGUAGAUUUAACGUUCUCUGAUGUGGAUUCACAGGCGUCGUGGUUGGUAAAACCUUUCUUGGUGUAACCUAACGUAACAUGACACAUUUGGGAAAAUCCGAUUCCGCAGCCUCAAAGCUCAUGUGAUUGGUUAAGAGAGCCCAGAAGAACCCGGAAAAGCGGUAAAAGCUGGGGCUAAACGUACAAAAAGGAAAACAGUGGCAGAAAUUUCCAUUUGUAGUGGUUUUCAAAAAAAACAACGACACUGCAACAAUUUUACAAAUAUGCAA
Long non-coding RNA from Pelmatolapia mariae (spotted tilapia), 1411 nucleotides. RefSeq lists it as uncharacterized. The record is from RefSeq and is a predicted model, not a curated record. The transcript has 3 exons. NCBI's taxonomy places the organism in Eukaryota, Metazoa, Chordata, Actinopteri, Cichliformes, Cichlidae.